GACGAACGCUGGCGGCGUGCCUAACACAUGCAAGUCGAGCGGGGUUGAAGCGAGGGGUAACUCGAGUUUCUACCUAGCGGCGGACGGGUGAGUAACGCGUGGGCAACCUGCCUCAAGGACUGGGAUAACAGCUCGAAAGGGCUGCUAAUACCGGAUAAGCCUAUGGCCUCGCAUGGGGCCAUGAGCAAAGGGGAAACCCGCCUUGAGAUGGGCCCGCGUCCCAUCAGCUAGUUGGUGAGGUGAAGGCUCACCAAGGCGACGACGGGUAGCCGGCCUGAGAGGGUGACCGGCCACACUGGGACUGAGACACGGCCCAGACUCCUACGGGGGCAGCAGUGGGGAAUCUUGCACAAUGGGCGAAAGCCUGAUGCAGCGACGCCGCGUGAGCGAAGAAGGCCUUCGGGUUGUAAAGCUCUGUCUGGAGGGACGAAGGAAGUGACGGUACCUCCGGAGGAAGCCACGGCUAACUACGUAGGCCAGCAGCCCGCGGUAAUAGUGUGUGUAC
This 505-nucleotide ribosomal RNA is filed under the name uncultured bacterium. RNAcentral describes it as "bacterial SSU rRNA". It matches the Rfam family "Bacterial small subunit ribosomal RNA", at positions 28 to 534 of the family's 1533-position model. The record is from RNAcentral.